GACGAACGCUGGCGGCGUGCUUAACACAUGCAAGUCGAACGGAAAGGCCCUGCUUUUGUGGGGUGCUCGAGUGGCGAACGGGUGAGUAACACGUGAGUAACCUGCCCUUGACUUUGGGAUAACUUCAGGAAACUGGGGCUAAUACCGGAUAGGAGCUCCUGCUGCAUGGUGGGGGUUGGAAAGUUUCGGCGGUUGGGGAUGGACUCGCGGCUUAUCAGCUUGUUGGUGGGGUAGUGGCUUACCAAGGCUUUGACGGGUAGCCGGCCUGAGAGGGUUACCGGCCACAUUGGGACUGAGAUACGGCCCAGAAUCCUACGGGAGGCAGCAGUGGGGAAUAUUGCACAAUGGGCGGAAGCCUGAUGCAGCAACGCCGCGUGCGGGAUGACGGCCUUCGGGUUGUAAACCGCUUUCGCCUGUGACGAAGCGUGAGUGACGGUAAUGGGUAAAGAAGCACCGGCUAACUACGUG
RNAcentral lists this ribosomal RNA (468 nucleotides) under uncultured bacterium. Its description in RNAcentral is "partial 16S ribosomal RNA". It matches the Rfam family "Bacterial small subunit ribosomal RNA", at positions 28 to 507 of the family's 1533-position model. The record is from RNAcentral.